AUUGAACGCUGGCGGCAGGCCUAACACAUGCAAGUCGAACGAGUGGCGGACGUGUGAGUAAUCUCUGGGAAACCGCCCGAUGGAGGGGGAUAACCACUGGAAACUGUAUAUAACACCGCAUACUCUCUGAAGCCCACAGAUGGGAUUAGCUAGUAGGUGGGGUAAUGGCUCACCUAGGCGACGAUCCCUAGCUGGUCUGAGAGGAUGACCAGCCACACUGGAACUGAGACACGGUCCAGACUCCUACGGGAGGCAGCAGUGGGGAAUAUUGCACAAUGGGCGCAAGCCUGAUGCAGCCAUGCCGCGUGUAUGAAGAAGGCCUUCGGGUUGUAAAGUACUUUCAGCGAGGAGGCGUUACUCGCAGAAGAAGCACCGGCUAACUCCGUGCCAGCCGCCGCGGUAAUAC
Molecule: ribosomal RNA, 406 nt
Filed under: uncultured bacterium
Lineage: Bacteria
Description: partial 16S ribosomal RNA
Rfam family: Bacterial small subunit ribosomal RNA
Source: RNAcentral